RNAcentral lists this ribosomal RNA (253 nucleotides) under uncultured bacterium. RNAcentral describes it as "partial 16S ribosomal RNA". It matches the Rfam family "Bacterial small subunit ribosomal RNA", at positions 524 to 776 of the family's 1533-position model. The record is from RNAcentral.
UACGAAGGGGGCUAGCGUUGUUCGGAAUUACUGGGCGUAAAGCGUGCGCAGGCGGCUUCUCAAGUCAGGGGUGAAAGCCCAGAGCUCAACUCUGGAAUUGCCUUUGAGACUGAGUGGCUUGAGUACGAGAGAGGUGAGUGGAAUUCCCAGUGUAGAGGUGAAAUGCGUAGAUAUCUGGAGGAACACCGGUGGCGAAGGCGGCAUCCUGGACCAACACUGACACUGAGGAGCGAAAGCCAGGGGAGCAAACGGG